This 340-nucleotide unclassified non-coding RNA is filed under the name soil metagenome. RNAcentral's name for it is "partial contains 5.8S ribosomal RNA, internal transcribed spacer 2, and large subunit ribosomal RNA". The stretch from base 1 to 120 matches the Rfam family "5.8S ribosomal RNA", at positions 35 to 154 of the family's 154-position model. The record is from RNAcentral.
GAUGAAGAACGCAGCGAAAUGCGAUACGUAGUGUGAAUUGCAGAAUUCAGUGAAUCAUCGAAUCUUUGAACGCACAUUGCACCUCUCGGUAUUCCGGGAGGUAUGCCUGUUCGAGCGUCAUUUGUACCCUCAAGCUCUGCUUGGUGUUGGGUGUUUGUUCCGCCUCUGUGUGUGAACUCGCCUCAAAACAAUUGGCAGCCGGCGUACUUGUUUCGGAGCGCAGCACAAGUCGCACUCUCUAUCAGCAAAGGUCUAGCAUCCAUUAAGCCUUUUUUUCAACUUUUGACCUCGGAUCAGGUAGGGAUACCCGCUGAACUUAAGCAUAUCAAUAAGCGGAGGA